Molecule: ribosomal RNA, 253 nt
Filed under: uncultured bacterium
Lineage: Bacteria
Description: partial 16S ribosomal RNA
Rfam family: Bacterial small subunit ribosomal RNA
Source: RNAcentral
UACGUAGGGUGCGAGCGUUGUCCGGAAUUAUUGGGCGUAAAGAGCUCGUAGGCGGUCUGUCGCGUCUGCUGUGAAAACUCAGGGCUUAACCCUGAGCUUGCAGUGGGUACGGGCAGACUAGAGUGCGGUAGGGGAGACUGGAAUUCCUGGUGUAGCGGUGAAAUGCGCAGAUAUCAGGAGGAACACCGGUGGCGAAAGCGGCUUACUGGGUCUCUUCUGACGCUGAGGUACGAAAGCUAGGGGAGCGAACGGG